UGAGGAAUUUUGCGCAAUGGGAGCAAUCCUGACGCAGCAACGCCGCGUGGGUGAUGAAGGCCUUCGGGUCGUAAAGCUCUGUUGUUAGGGAAGAACAAGUACCGUUCGAAUAGGGCGGUACCUUGACGGUACCUAACCAGAAAGCCACGGCUAACUACGUGCCAGCAGCCGCGGUAAUACGUAGGUGGCAAGCGUUGUCCGGAAUUAUUGGGCGUAAAGGGCUCGCGGGCGGUUUCUUAAGUCUGAUGUGAAAGCCCCCGGCUCAACCGGGGAGGGUCAUUGGAAACUGGGGAACUUGAGUGCAGAAGAGGAGAGUGGAAUUCCACGUGUAGCGGUGAAAUGCGUAGAGAUGUGGAGGAACACCAGUGGCGAAGGCGACUCUCUGGUCUGUAACUGACGCUGAGGAGCGAAAGCGUGGGGAGCGAACA
Molecule: ribosomal RNA, 428 nt
Filed under: uncultured prokaryote
Description: bacterial SSU rRNA
Rfam family: Bacterial small subunit ribosomal RNA
Source: RNAcentral